Molecule: ribosomal RNA, 460 nt
Filed under: uncultured bacterium
Lineage: Bacteria
Description: partial 16S ribosomal RNA
Rfam family: Bacterial small subunit ribosomal RNA
Source: RNAcentral
CCUACGGGAGACAGCAGUGAGGAAUAUUGGUCAAUGGACGAGAGUCUGAACCAGCCAAGUAGCGUGAAGGAUGACUGCCCUAUGGGUUGUAAACUUCUUUUAUAUGGGAAUAAAACGUUCCACGUGUGGGAUUUUGUAUGUACCAUAUGAAUAAGGAUCGGCUAACUCCGUGCCAGCAGCCGCGGUAAUACGGAGGAUCCGAGCGUUAUCCGGAUUUAUUGGGUUUAAAGGGAGCGUAGAUGGAUUGUUAAGUCAGUUGUGAAAGUUUGCGGCUCAACCGUAAAAUUGCAGUUGAAACUGGCAGUCUUGAGUACAGUAGAGGUGGGCGGAAUUCGUGGUGUAGCGGUGAAAUGCUUAGAUAUCACGAAGAACUCCGAUUGCGAAGGCAGUUCACUGGACUGCAACUGACACUGAGGCUCGAAAGUGUGGGUAUCAAACAGGAUUAGAUACCCGUGUAGUC